This is a non-coding RNA of Xylariaceae sp. FL0662B, 70 nucleotides long. NCBI's taxonomy places the organism in Eukaryota, Fungi, Ascomycota, Sordariomycetes, Xylariales, Xylariaceae. The record is from the annotation of a GenBank genome assembly.
GCCUCUGUGGUUUAGUGGUAUAAUUAGGACCGGUAGGUUUUAAAUAAGGGUUCGAUUCCCUUUUAAGGCG